CCUCCAGCUGUAACACUCCAUGGUUCCACAAACAACCCGGAAUGCUACUGUACUACACUUCCGACGUCCAUAUAUAAAAUUUCGGCAGCAUCCCCUUUGCAAGAUUGCAUAAAAGAGGGAGCAACAGAGUAUAAACAUAUAUCAUGACUAAAACAUACUAAGUAUUAUUACUCGGCCAGCAAGGAAAGAUAAACAUACGACCUGAACUGAAUUAACCAGUGUGCACGACCAUAUAAAAAAAUAAACAAACUUCCUUUGACAAUAAGUUUCUAAUUAAAUCAUGGCUGCGCCUGGGCAGCGUUAUUAUGAGAGUGAAAGUGGACGUGCUGCUACUCCCCUCAUUCCCAACAUGUAACAAGUACCUGCAUUGAGUAAUGCAAGAGUGAGAUGACACAUCUCAGCAAGUAAAAUAAUAUCAAACAGUUUAACCACAUAAGAACAUUGUUUUACCACCACUUGAUUCCACAACCUUCUUAUUACGAAGGUGCAGCACGUAUACAACGUACAACGCACCUAGUUACCACACCUCGCAGGUAGAAACCACAAUAGUAACAUAGUAAUGUCACACUUCAUAUAUUUCCUCAUGAGUGCAAAUGUCUGCAAAUGCAAGGAUGACUUCUGCCUUCAUACCUCUAAGGAUAUGAAGCCGCAUCGUACCCCUCCUCGGGCAACGUACGAUGCUAAAAAUGUACCGGUACGGUCGGACCAUAAGAUCACGACAUAACUUCAAAAUGCAAGAUGGAUGAUGCGAUGUGCAUGUCAUGCCUACAACACUUCAUAUAACAUGAUUCAAAAAGACACUUCAACUUCAUCCAGAUGGGAAUCAACCACAUAUAUCAUUACCAAAUUAUGAUCAUCCACAAUAUUAGACAAUUGAGAAUUAAUACUUCCAAACAAAUAAACUUCAUCAUAGAAUUCAAUGAUUAACAUAAUUAAAACUUAUGCAUACUCAAUGACAGGGAAUAGGAUGCAAACCAAACGGUAGCAACCACCACUGUAUUUACUUGCCUUUACCGGAAGUUCGGGCAAAUCCCUAAGUACGAUCCGGAAGUCCACCACCUGUUUUUGACACCCAACUUAGUACACCAAUUUCACAUAAUCAGGCCCAUAAGCGACGCCGCACCUACGCACAACUCAAACCCCGCCGCGGGUUACAUCUCUCCCUACACCCACCAAACUGCAGCGGCGCUGCUUAAUAAUUUCAUAACUUUAAAAUUAUGACAGCAGUGGUAACAAACAAAAACUCCAGAGGCAUCUACAUAAAAUUCCCCACAAGUUUUGUAUACAAUUUAUAAUUAAAUUCCAAUAUCUAAUUAGCCCAAAACAGUCCACAAGAUGAACCCUGUAAUCUGUUUUUCUUUAUCUUUUGGACAGCGACAUACCCAGAUUCAAACAGCGAUAUCUUUUAAAAUAUAAUUCCAAAUCAAGCGCAUAAGUACUUAUUGGAAAGAUAAGACAAAUCCCUACAUGAUUACCAUACUGGUUAACACUAAUUACCCACGAAAAAUUCCCAGAAACUGCUAAUACCACUGCUGUUCACCCACCUGAAAAAUCUGUUUUUUUGGACAGCAACAUAACCGGAUUCAAACAACGAUAUCUCCUGAAUUAUAACUCCGAAUCGAGCGCAUAAGUACUCGUUGGAAAGGUAAGGUAAAGUUCUACAUGAUCCCCAAACUGAUUUCCCUUAAUUCCUCACGAAAAAAACACAGAAACUGCUAGACUACUGCUGUUCACUCACCACCUAAAAUUCUGGACAGCCCCCUCUACCCAAUCGCAAACGCAACCUCUAAUCAAUUAAAUUGCAGCGCAAAUGAACAAGGGAUGAACACAAAAAUCACCUUGGAUUCUCCCCCUUUCCUUCCUCCCUUCUUCCCUCCACCAAAACGAUUGAAGACUCGCACCACGACGACGAUGAUCCGAGCGGCAAGGAUUGGCACCUUGGGAGGAGGGGAUUGAGGGGGGCGGCUAGGGUUUGGUGGCUGCAAGAAUGGAGAGAGGAGGAGAUGGGCAGGGGGGCGACGGCCAAGGGGGGAGAGAAGUGGGGGGCGGCUGCACAUGGGGGGAGGGGGUUAGGAGGGAGGCGGCUAGGGUUUGGGAGGGUUAAUGGGCUGAAACUCCAAUUGCGGCCCAACUAACCCACGCGACAGCUCCCGACCGUAACGCAAGCAUCAAAUCAGAUAAAUUCUACUGCCCUAGUUGUGAAUGUUUUCCACAAAAUCCCAAAUCCCCAAAACAACAACCGGAUGAGGAAAAAAAACAAAAAGAACAACCCCCAACUUCUCUUCUUUGCAAACCGGGUAUCACACUCUACCCCUCUUAAAAAGAAUUCGACCUCGAAUUCUGACGCUUCUAUCGGAACAACAAAAGAAAGGUUAAUGAAUCAACAAAACUCACACAUAAAGAAAAGUUCGAGUACUUCUGCCGCAUCAGCUCCUCAAGCUCCUAGGAUUCUAAGAUACGCAGCAGACGACACUCUAGAGUCUGCUCUUGCUACACAGGAAUCGGCUCUAGCUCGAUUUGAUGGUCUGGAUUCCGCAAAUACUUCCUCAACAAAAAGACAUGGAAUACUUGGUGUACCCUGUGUUGGAUCUUUUAUGGGCUUGGCCCAUUUAUUGAAUAAACUCUAUGGUAUGUAAUGGUGGAGAAUACCAAUAGUACCACAUUGGAAGUCCAAGGGUCUUU
This 2682-nucleotide long non-coding RNA is filed under the name Zea mays. Its description in RNAcentral is "long non-coding RNA (ZMAY_LNC000516)". The record is from RNAcentral. Lineage: Eukaryota; Viridiplantae; Streptophyta; Magnoliopsida; Poales; Poaceae.